UACGGAGGGUGCAAGCGUUAAUCGGAAUUACUGGGCGUAAAGGGUGCGUAGGUGGUUUAGUAAGUUAUCUGUGAAAUCCCUGGGCUUAACCUGGGCAGGUCAGAUAAGACUGUUAGACUAGAGUAUGGGAGAGGGUAGAGGAAUUUCCGGUGUAGCGGUGAAAUGCGUAGAGAUCGGAAGGAACACCAGUGGCGAAGGCAGUGUCCUGGGGAGUACCUGACGCUCAGGUGCGAAAGCCAGGGGAGCGAACGGG
RNAcentral lists this ribosomal RNA (253 nucleotides) under uncultured bacterium. RNAcentral describes it as "partial 16S ribosomal RNA". It matches the Rfam family "Bacterial small subunit ribosomal RNA", at positions 524 to 776 of the family's 1533-position model. The record is from RNAcentral.